RNAcentral lists this ribosomal RNA (497 nucleotides) under uncultured bacterium. Its description in RNAcentral is "partial 16S ribosomal RNA". It matches the Rfam family "Bacterial small subunit ribosomal RNA", at positions 28 to 507 of the family's 1533-position model. The record is from RNAcentral.
GAUGAACGCUGGCGGCGUGCCUAAUACAUGCAAGUCGAGCGAACGGACGAGAAGCUUGCUUGGCUGAUGUUAGCGGAGGAGGGGUGAGACACACGUGGAUAACCUACCUAUCAGACGGGGAAAACUUCGGGAAACGGGCGCUAAUACGGGAUGCUCUGUUCAACCGCAUGGUGCAAGAGUGAAGGGCGGUCUUGCUGUGAGUUAUAGACGGAUCCUCGCUGCUUUGGGGAGUUGUUACGGCAACGGAUUACCAUGGCAACGAGGCGUAGCCGACCAGAGAGGGUGAGCGGCCACACUGUAACAGAGAGACGGUCCAGACGCCUACGGGAGGCAGCAGGGGGGAAUCUGCCACAAUGGGCGAAAGCCUGAAAGAGCAAUGCCGCGUGGGUGAGGAAGGUCUUGGGAUCGUAAAGCUCUGUUAUUAGGGAGGACCAGAUGUGUAAGUAACUAUGCACAUCGUGACGGUACUGAGUCAGAAAGCCACGGCUAACUACGUG